GAGGGCAACCUUCCAUGCUGUCUGAGAAGACUCCCAAACUUGAGCGUUUAGAGGAAGUAAAAGUCGUAAUAAGGUUUCCGUAGGUGAACCUGCGGAAGGAUCAUUA
Molecule: ribosomal RNA, 106 nt
Filed under: Tigriopus japonicus
Lineage: Eukaryota; Metazoa; Arthropoda; Copepoda; Harpacticoida; Harpacticidae
Description: partial 18S ribosomal RNA
Rfam family: Eukaryotic small subunit ribosomal RNA
Source: RNAcentral